Molecule: transfer RNA, 71 nt
Organism: Rhizoclosmatium globosum
Lineage: Eukaryota; Fungi; Chytridiomycota; Chytridiomycetes; Chytridiales; Chytriomycetaceae
Rfam family: tRNA
About the family: Transfer RNA (tRNA) molecules are approximately 80 nucleotides in length. Their secondary structure includes four short double-helical elements and three loops (D, anti-codon, and T loops).
Source: Rfam
AGGAAUGUAGUUCAAUGGUAGAAUGGUAAGUUUGGGUCUUAUCGAUAGUGGUUCGAUUCCACUCAUUCCUA